Molecule: ribosomal RNA, 433 nt
Filed under: uncultured Bacillus sp.
Lineage: Bacteria; Bacillati; Bacillota; Bacilli; Caryophanales; Bacillaceae
Description: bacterial SSU rRNA
Rfam family: Bacterial small subunit ribosomal RNA
Source: RNAcentral
UCAGGACGAACGCUGGCGGCGUGCCUAAUACAUGCAAGUCGAGCGGAUCUUUGGGAGCUUGCUCCCAAAGAUUAGCGGCGGACGGGUGAGUAACACGUGGGCAACCUGCCUAUGAGACUGGGAUAACUCCGGGAAACCGGGGCUAAUACCGGAUAAUUCUUUUCUACACAUGUAGAAAAGCUGAAAGAUGGUUUCGGCUAUCACUCAUAGAUGGGCCCGCGGCGCAUUAGCUAGUUGGUGAGGUAACGGCUCACCAAGGCGACGAUGCGUAGCCGACCUGAGAGGGUGAUCGGCCACACUGGGACUGAGACACGGCCCAGACUCCUACGGGAGGCAGCAGUAGGGAAUCUUCCGCAAUGGACGAAAGUCUGACUGGAGCAACGCCGCGUGAGUGAUGAAGGUUUUCGGAUCGUAAAACUCUGUUGUUAGGGAA